CUCACAUGCAUAUCCCUUAUAGUUGUGAAGCCUUUGGUCUCAUUGGCCUUAUCCCGGCCGUCAUGUUAUUUCCAGCCUAUACUCGCCUUUGAGCUUUCUAUGUAUCUUGGUCCUGCACUUUGGCUCCCCUAUUUUAACCAGAUCAAAACGGUAAACUAAAGAACUAUGUACAUGUGGGUUCUUCUGCGCAGUUGUUUGCCAUCACCUCUCCCUCUUUGUGUCACUCUCCCUCCUUGCCCAGUCCCAACUCCCAUUUCGCAUGAGCCAGGUUGGCAUAUUUGUUUGAGGAGCUUUGCCUAUGCAGUUCCUUUUCAUAUAC
Non-coding RNA from Pelobates cultripes (western spadefoot toad), 319 nucleotides. NCBI's taxonomy places the organism in Eukaryota, Metazoa, Chordata, Amphibia, Anura, Pelobatidae. The record is from the annotation of a GenBank genome assembly.